UCCCUUGUAGCUCAGCUGGUAGAGAACCCACCUGCAAUGUUGGAGACCUGGGUUCAAUCCCUAGGUUGGGAA
This 72-nucleotide transfer RNA is filed under the name Bos taurus (domestic cattle). It matches the Rfam family "tRNA". From Rfam's summary of the family: Transfer RNA (tRNA) molecules are approximately 80 nucleotides in length. Their secondary structure includes four short double-helical elements and three loops (D, anti-codon, and T loops). Lineage: Eukaryota; Metazoa; Chordata; Mammalia; Artiodactyla; Bovidae. The record is from Rfam by way of RNAcentral. RNAcentral also lists the same sequence under 4 other names.